GAGGGUAUAGCUCGAGUGGCAGAAAGCAUGCUUAGCAUGCAUGAGACCCUGGGUUCAAUCCCCAGUAUCUCCA
RNAcentral lists this transfer RNA (73 nucleotides) under Camelus bactrianus (Bactrian camel). It matches the Rfam family "tRNA". From Rfam's summary of the family: Transfer RNA (tRNA) molecules are approximately 80 nucleotides in length. Lineage: Eukaryota; Metazoa; Chordata; Mammalia; Artiodactyla; Camelidae. The record is from Rfam by way of RNAcentral. RNAcentral also lists the same sequence under 2 other names.